Sarcophilus harrisii (Tasmanian devil) is the source of this 639-nucleotide long non-coding RNA. RefSeq lists it as uncharacterized. Lineage: Eukaryota; Metazoa; Chordata; Mammalia; Dasyuromorphia; Dasyuridae. The record is from RefSeq and is a predicted model, not a curated record. The transcript has 3 exons.
UUGGGUGGGAGAGUUGAAGCCUCACUGUGGGCCUGCUGAACUUUUCUUCCUGUCCUAUUUUUGUGUCUUCAACAUGAAGACUCAAGGACACCAGGAGAUAGCUAUGGCUCUGGGGGGUACCAGAAGGCCAGGAUUCUGGAAGACACGGUCCCGGUCUCCAUGAAACAAUGCUCAUCUAAGAAACAAUUAUAUAUGCAUAGGAUGUUGGGAGCCAGAAUUCCCAAACUGGUUCAAGAGGGAGACUGAGGACCUACCUGUUUAAGGAAGGCUUCCAUGAGCAGAUAACAAAUCUCAAAUUCCAAAGAGACUUAAGUGAUUCACUUGAUGACUUCCUGAUGAUGGAGGAACUGAGUCCCAGAAAAGCAACUGGCCCAACAUCACCAAAGGCAAUACAUGGCUGUCGUUCUCCUGAUUCCGGUGCCUUUUGCUUGGUCACUGCUCUAAGAUUCUGUAAGUCUGAAGUAACUGUCAUCUAUGUCCCCUUCUCCCAGCCUACAAGACUACUGCUCUAGACCAAACUCUUGUUGCGUCUCUCUCCUGACUGUGGCAAUAUGUCCCAUUCCUAUUCAUCCUCCCCCUAGCUGCCAAAGUGAGUUUCCUGAAAGAUGAUUCUGACCAUGAUCUCCCCCUAUUCAAUAA